GACGAACGCUGGCGGCGUGCUUAACACAUGCAAGUCGAACGGAAAGGCCCUGCUUUUGUGGGGUUCUCGAUUGGCGAACGGGUGAGUAACACGUGAGUAACCUGCCCUUGACUUUGGGAUAACUUCAGGAAACUGGGGCUAAUACCGGAUAGGAUCUCCUGCUGCAUGGUGGGGGUUGGAAAGUUUCGGCGGUUGGGGAUGGACUCGCGGCUUAUCAGCUUGUUGGUGGGGUAGUGGCUUACCAAGGGUUUGACGGGUAGCCGGCCUGAGAGGGUGACCGGCCACAUUGGGACUGAGAUACGGACCAGACUCCUACGGGAGGCAGCAGUGGGGAAUAUUGCACAAUGGGCGGAAGCCUGAUGCAGCAACGCCGCGUGCGGGAUGACGGCCUUCGGGUUGUAAACAGCUUUCGCCUGUGACGAAGCGUGAGUGACGGUAAUGGGUAAAGAAGCACCGGCUAACUACGUG
RNAcentral lists this ribosomal RNA (468 nucleotides) under uncultured bacterium. RNAcentral's name for it is "partial 16S ribosomal RNA". It matches the Rfam family "Bacterial small subunit ribosomal RNA", at positions 28 to 507 of the family's 1533-position model. The record is from RNAcentral.